Molecule: unclassified non-coding RNA, 329 nt
Filed under: soil metagenome
Description: partial contains 5.8S ribosomal RNA, internal transcribed spacer 2, and large subunit ribosomal RNA
Rfam family: 5.8S ribosomal RNA (bases 1-120)
Source: RNAcentral
GAUGAAGAACGUAGCGAAAUGCGAUAAGUAAUGUGAAUUGCAGAAUUCAGUGAAUCAUCGAAUCUUUGAACGCACAUUGCGCCCCCUGGUAUUCCGGGGGGCAUGCCUGUCCGAGCGUCAUUACAACCCUCAAGCUCAGCUUGGUGUUGGGCCCCGCCGCCCCGGCUGGCCCUAAAGUCAGUGGCGGUGCCGUCCGGCUCCGAGCGUAGUAAUUCUUCUCGCUCUGGAGGUCCGGUCGUGUGCUCGCCAGCAACCCCCAAUUUUUUUCAGGUUGACCUCGGAUCAGGUAGGGAUACCCGCUGAACUUAAGCAUAUCAAUAAGCGGAGGA